GAUGAACGCUGGCGGCGUGCCUAAUACAUGCAAGUCGAGCGAACAGACGAGGAGCUUGCUCCUCUGACGUUAGCGGCGGACGGGUGAGUAACACGUGGAUAACCUACCUAUAAUACUGGGAUAACUUCGGGAAACCGGAGCUAAUACCGGAUAAUAUAUUGAACCGCAUGGUUCAAUAGUGAAAGACGGUUUUGCUGUCACUUAUAGAUGGAUCCGCGCCGCAUUAGCUAGUUGGUAAGGUAGCGGCUUACCAAGGCGACGAUGCGUAGCCGACCUGAGAGGGUGAUCGGCCACACUGGAACUGAGACACGGUCCAGACUCCUACGGGAGGCAGCAGUAGGGAAUCUUCCGCAAUGGGCGAAAGCCUGACGGAGCAACGCCGCGUGAGUGAUGAAGGUCUUCGGAUCGUAAAACUCUGUUAUUAGGGAAGAACAAAUGUGUAAGUAACUAUGCACGUCUUGACGGUACCUAAUCAGAAAGCCACGGCUAACUACGUG
RNAcentral lists this ribosomal RNA (497 nucleotides) under uncultured bacterium. Its description in RNAcentral is "partial 16S ribosomal RNA". It matches the Rfam family "Bacterial small subunit ribosomal RNA", at positions 28 to 507 of the family's 1533-position model. The record is from RNAcentral.